Molecule: RNA transcript, 695 nt
Organism: Elaeis guineensis (African oil palm)
Lineage: Eukaryota; Viridiplantae; Streptophyta; Magnoliopsida; Arecales; Arecaceae
Gene name: OVARIAN TUMOR DOMAIN-containing deubiquitinating enzyme 2-like
Source: RefSeq, a predicted model, not a curated record
UCCGAAAACCCUCUCAUUUCUUCCGCCUCUCCGUCUCCCCUCCCGAGAGCUCCCAAAACCCUACCGUCCUCCUCUUCCUCCUAGCGGCUCCGGCGAAGCCAAACCCAAGCUCGGUGCCGCCAUCUCUCCUUCCCUCCGUUGAAGCCAAGCUCCGGUGAAGCCACAGAUCAGUUGUUGUGUUGGUCCAGGUGGGAAUUCAAUAGAAUGGAAGGAAUCACAAAGAGUCAUACCCUCCGACAAUAGCUGCCUAUUCAAUGCUGCUGGGUAUGUAAUGGAUCACGACAAGCACCGAGCUCCAGAGCUCAGUCAGGUUAUAGCUGCAACAGUGGUGAGUGAUCCAAGAAAAUAUAACCAAGCAUUUCUUGGAAAAUCAAAUGAAGAAUAUUGUGGCUGGAUUUUGAAUCCCGAGAAGUGGGGAGGAAUCUGGCAUGGAUUGGAUAAUACAUCUCGACACCGACGAGUUAAUGCAUCCUGCUGGUGCUCGAGAGUACUCUUUAAGGUGGUUGCUGUUGGAUGUCUCUAGUGAUGUUAAUAUGGUUAUCUUUCGGAAUUAUGUAAGUUAGACUAUUGCCUAUUACAUUUAACAAUGAUUUAUAUGUUGCAUAUAUGGUAACCCUUUUUCUUAACAGGAAAGUUGCGUUGAGCGAGAUGAUAUAAAGGAUCCUUUCCGCGAGAUAAAUAGUGUGCCAUUCUUU